GUGCUUGCUUUGGCAGCACGUAUACUAAAAUUGGAACAAUGCAGAGAAGGUUAGCAUGGACCCUGCAUAUGGAUGAUAUGCAAAUUCGUGAGGAGUUCCAUAUUUAA
RNAcentral lists this small nuclear RNA (107 nucleotides) under Salvator merianae (Argentine black and white tegu). The record is from RNAcentral. Lineage: Eukaryota; Metazoa; Chordata; Lepidosauria; Squamata; Teiidae.